UACAGAGGUCUCAAGCGUUGUUCGGAUUCAUUGGGCGUAAAGGGUGUGUAGGUGGCGCGCUAAGUCGGGUGUGAAAUUUCGGAGCUUAACUCCGAAACUGCAUUCGAUACUGGCGUGCUUGAGGACUGGAGAGGAGAGUGGAAUUCCUGGUGUAGCGGUGAAAUGCGCAGAUAUCAGGAAGAACACCCGUGGCGAAGGCGGCUCUCUGGGACGGUACUGACGCUGAGACGCGAAAGCGUGGGGAGCGAACAGG
RNAcentral lists this ribosomal RNA (253 nucleotides) under uncultured bacterium. RNAcentral's name for it is "partial 16S ribosomal RNA". It matches the Rfam family "Bacterial small subunit ribosomal RNA", at positions 524 to 776 of the family's 1533-position model. The record is from RNAcentral.